This 253-nucleotide ribosomal RNA is filed under the name uncultured bacterium. RNAcentral's name for it is "partial 16S ribosomal RNA". It matches the Rfam family "Bacterial small subunit ribosomal RNA", at positions 524 to 776 of the family's 1533-position model. The record is from RNAcentral.
GACAGAGGGUGCAAACGUUGUUCGGAAUUACUGGGCGUAAAGCGCGUGUAGGCGGCCAUCUAAGUCGGGCGUGAAAUCCCACGGCUCAACCGUGGAAGUGCACUCGAAACUGGAUGGCUAGAGUCCUGGAGAGGAAGGUGGAAUGCUUGGUGUAGAGGUGAAAUUCGUAGAUAUCAAGCGGAACACCGGUGGCGAAGGCGGCCUUCUGGACAGUGACUGACGCUGAGACGCGAAAGCCAGGGGAGCAAACGGG